AUGGGGAAGCCGGCGGAAUACGGGGACGAGGAUGACGAGGAGCUGUCCAGCUCCGGCGACGCAGAGGGCGAGGAGGAGCAGCAGGAGGAGGAGGGAUCGGAUGACGGCGAGGAGGAUGAGGAGGAUGAGGAGGAAGAGCAGGAGCCCGAGGGGGAGCAGGCGGCGGGGGAUGGUGAGGAUGCGGAGGAAGAGGUCGACGAGGAGGAGAUCGUCGCCGCUACCACGGGCGCCGGCGCCGAUGACGACGACGACGACGGUGGAGACGGCGCCGGCGCGGCGGAGGAGGCCGAAUCUACCGAGGACGACGCCGCCGCGGAGGAGGGCGGCGAGGAAGAUGCCGACGAGUCUGAAGACGCCACUGCAAAGACAGAGAUUGGCAAGAGGGAACGAGCCAAGCUCAGGGAAAUGCAGAAGCUCAAGAAGCAGAAGAUCCAGGAAAUACUGGAUAGCCAAAACGCUUCCAUUGAUGCUGACAUGAACAAGAAGGGAAAGGGCCGACUGAAAUACCUCUUGCAGCAGACUGAAAUAUUUGCUCAUUUUGCGAAAGGAAGCCAAGCUGCGGAGAAAAAGAACCGUGGAAAGGGUCGUCAUGCAUCAAAGGUGACAGAGGAGGAGGAAGAUGAAGAAUACCUCAAGGAGGAAGAUGCCCUUGCUGCAGGAGGAACACGCUUGCUUAUACAACCAUCAUGCAUAAAUGGGAAAAUGAGAGAUUACCAACUAGCUGGACUUAAUUGGCUCAUACGCUUGUAUGAAAAUGGCAUCAAUGGGAUAUUGGCUGAUGAAAUGGGUCUCGGAAAAACUCUCCAAACUAUCUCCUUGCUUGGAUAUCUGCAUGAGUUCAGAGGAAUAACUGGUCCUCACAUGGUUGUUGCACCAAAGUCUACUCUUGGCAAUUGGAUGAAGGAAAUCCAACGUUUUUGCCCUGUUCUGCGUGCUGUCAAGUUCUUAGGAAACCCAGAAGAAAGGAAUCAUAUACGGGAAAAUUUGCUAGCUCCAGGGAAGUUUGAUGUCUGUGUUACUAGUUUUGAAAUGGCAAUAAAAGAAAAAACUGCAUUGAGGCGUUUUAGCUGGCGCUAUAUUAUUAUCGAUGAAGCUCAUCGGAUAAAAAAUGAGAACUCCCUUCUUUCUAAGACAAUGAGGCUUUUCAGCACCAAUUACCGUCUGCUCAUCACAGGCACCCCGCUGCAGAAUAAUCUUCAUGAACUUUGGUCUCUUCUCAACUUCUUGUUGCCAGAAAUAUUUAGCUCUGCAGAGACUUUUGAUGAAUGGUUCCAAAUCUCAGGGGAAAAUGAUCAACACGAGGUUGUUCAGCAGCUUCAUAAGGUUUUGCGUCCAUUUCUCCUUCGGAGGCUUAAAUCGGAUGUCGAGAAAGGUUUACCUCCAAAGAAGGAGACUAUACUUAAAGUUGGAAUGUCUGAGAUGCAAAAACAGUAUUAUCGUGCUCUACUUCAGAAGGAUCUGGAGGUUAUUAAUGCUGGUGGUGAGCGCAAGCGCCUUCUUAACAUAGCCAUGCAACUACGGAAGUGCUGCAAUCAUCCAUAUUUAUUCCAAGGUGCUGAGCCUGGCCCACCUUAUACAACUGGGGACCAUCUAAUUGAGAAUGCAGGAAAGAUGGUUCUGUUAGAUAAAUUACUUCCCAAGCUAAAGGCCCGUGACUCCAGAGUACUGAUAUUCUCUCAGAUGACCCGUCUUUUGGACAUUUUGGAAGAUUAUCUAAUGUACAGAGGGUAUCAGUAUUGCCGUAUUGAUGGGAAUACUGGUGGUGAUGAUCGUGAUGCUUCCAUUGAAGCUUUCAACAAGCCAGGGAGUGAAAAGUUUAUCUUCUUACUUUCAACUAGGGCAGGUGGUCUUGGGAUCAAUCUCGCUACUGCUGACAUUGUGGUUCUUUAUGAUAGUGAUUGGAACCCUCAAGUGGAUCUGCAAGCUCAAGACCGUGCACAUAGAAUUGGUCAAAAGAAAGAAGUUCAAGUCUUCCGUUUCUGCACCGAGUAUACUAUUGAGGAAAAAGUAAUUGAGAGAGCAUAUAAGAAGCUUGCCUUGGAUGCUUUGGUCAUACAGCAAGGGCGAUUGGCAGAACAGAAAGCCGUCAAUAAGGAUGAGCUGUUGCAAAUGGUGAGAUUUGGUGCUGAAAUGGUAUUCAGUUCCAAGGAUAGCACAAUAACAGAUGAAGAUAUUGACCGCAUUAUCGCUAGAGGAGAAGAGGCGACAGCACAACUUGAUGCAAAAAUGAAGAAGUUCACAGAAGAUGCCAUUAAAUUUAAAAUGGACGACACUGCUGAACUUUAUGAUUUUGACGACGACAAGGAGGAAGACAAGCCAGAUUUUAAAAAGCUAGUCAGCGAUAACUGGAUAGAACCCCCUAGACGAGAAAGAAAACGGAACUACUCUGAGUCUGAAUAUUUUAAGCAAGCACUUCGCCAAGGUGCCCCAGCAAAACCUAGGGAACCGAGAAUUCCCCGAAUGCCAAACUUGCAUGAUUUCCAGUUCUUCAACACGCAAAGGCUCAAUGAAUUGUAUGAAAAGGAAGUCAAAUACCUUGUGCAAACUAAUCAGAAAAAGGAUACAAUUGGUGAUGGUGAUGGUGAGGAUGAAGAAGUGGAACCUCUGAACGAAGAGGAGCAAGAAGAGAAGGAACAGCUACUGGAAGAGGGCUUUUCAACAUGGACGAGGAGGGACUUCAACACAUUCAUUCGAGCUUGUGAGAAAUAUGGUCGUGACGACAUAAAGAGUAUAGCCUCUGAAAUGGAGGGGAAAACAGAAGAGGAAGUUCAGCGGUAUGCUGAAGUUUUCAAGGAAAGAUACACAGAAUUGAAUGAUUAUGACAGAAUUAUUAAGAAUAUUGAGAAAGGAGAAUCAAAGAUAUCUCGGAAGGAUGAGAUUAUGAAAGCCAUUGCGAAAAAGAUGGACCGCUAUAAGAACCCGUGGCUGGAGUUGAAAAUUCAGUAUGGCCAGAACAAAGGGAAGCUGUACAACGAAGAAUGUGACCGUUUUCUGUUGUGCAUGGUGCACAAACUUGGCUAUGGAAACUGGGAAGAACUGAAGUCGGCCUUCCGCAUGUCUCCCUUGUUCCGUUUUGAUUGGUUUGUGAAGUCCAGAACCACGCAAGAGUUGGCUAGAAGGUGCGACACUCUCAUUCGUCUAGUGGAGAAGGAGAACCAAGAGUGUGAUGAGCGUGAUAGACAGGCCAGGAAAGAUAAGAAGAACAUGACACCAACCAAGCGUCCUUCGUCAAGUAGUCCAGCAAUGGACUCUCCCAUGCAGACGCCCUCCAAGAGGGGGCGGAGGGACGGCAGUGCACCCUCGGGAAAGAGAAGGCGGCGAUGA
This 3324-nucleotide ribosomal RNA is filed under the name Triticum aestivum (bread wheat). RNAcentral's name for it is "partial small subunit ribosomal RNA". The record is from RNAcentral. Lineage: Eukaryota; Viridiplantae; Streptophyta; Magnoliopsida; Poales; Poaceae.